GCCGGGCUUGGUGGCGAGUGCCUGUAGUCCCAGCUAUUUGGGAGGCUAAGGCUGGAGGAUCUAGCUUGAGUCCAGGAGUUCUGGGCUGUAGUGCGCUAUGCCGGGUGUCCGCACUAAGUUCGGCAUCAAUAUGGUGAUCUCCCAUGAGCCGGGGACCACCAGGUUGCCUAAGGAGGGGUGAAUGGGCCCAAGUCGGAAAUGGAGCAGGUCAAAACUCCCGUGCUGAUCAGUAGUGGGAUCGGGCCUGUGAAUAGCCACUGCACUCCAGCCUGGGCAACAUAGCGAGAUCCAGUCUCU
Molecule: signal recognition particle RNA, 297 nt
Filed under: Cebus imitator (Panamanian white-faced capuchin)
Lineage: Eukaryota; Metazoa; Chordata; Mammalia; Primates; Cebidae
Description: Metazoan signal recognition particle RNA (ENSCCAG00000004272.1)
Rfam family: Metazoan signal recognition particle RNA
About the family: The signal recognition particle (SRP) is a universally conserved ribonucleoprotein. It is involved in the co-translational targeting of proteins to membranes. The eukaryotic SRP consists of a 300-nucleotide 7S RNA and six proteins: SRPs 72, 68, 54, 19, 14, and 9.
Source: RNAcentral